Dinoponera quadriceps is the source of this 403-nucleotide long non-coding RNA. RefSeq lists it as uncharacterized. The record is from RefSeq and is a predicted model, not a curated record. The transcript is spliced from 3 exons. NCBI's taxonomy places the organism in Eukaryota, Metazoa, Arthropoda, Insecta, Hymenoptera, Formicidae.
UGACGCACUUCUUCCGAUGCACCGGGAAGAAGAGCCUGAAGUCCUCCGGCAAUUCAUCUUCCGAGUAAAGCCUGGGAAACAUUUGCGAGGAGAUGACCCGCAACUGUACAGGAUGGACAAAAAUCCGCUCUGAAAUGUAUUCCGAAACAUCUCGUAAAGAUUCUCGAGAGCUUUCAGCGUUACAACUCGUUCUCCGCGGUUUGAAUGUGAAUGCUGGAAAAAUUGUCUUCAACUGAAACGUCAAGCGGUUAUUGUGCAUUUGACAUGUAGUGAAUUCUUUUGUUCCUGCAUUUGUCCAACAUAGGAAUAAAAGCAUUGCAACAGAUAAAGGAAUGAAUACUGCCGUAGCUUCAGACUCAGAAGAAACAAGAAUUGAGGGAAGAGAACGCGUAAAAACCACGAG